Molecule: long non-coding RNA, 1543 nt
Filed under: Equus caballus (horse)
Lineage: Eukaryota; Metazoa; Chordata; Mammalia; Perissodactyla; Equidae
Description: lncRNA (ENSECAG00000046393.1)
Source: RNAcentral
AAGACGCACGGCUGAACCCAAAGUCCGGAGGUGGGGAGACACAGGCUGGCCCCCAAAUUUUAAGGCAGCUUUCAGCUUUGAUGACUUUCGAAGUGUAAACACUCCAAACUCAAACACAGCAUUUGACAUUUUAUUUAUUUAACUUUCUUUUACACUUAUUCAGCGUUGUCAAGUUUGACUACAAUACGUUUAAUGUUUCGUUUAAGUCCCUCUGAGUGAAGACGGCAAAUAUUGAUCAAACAAGUCACAUGACCUAAGGCUCGGCUACAAGAAAGAAAAAGAAUUAAAGUCAGUGGUGCGGUUGACCCCACAGCGACACAGAGUGAAGUCAAUAUCAUUAUCCCCACUGGACAAGAUCAGAGAGGGGAAAUGUCUUUGCCAACAUCACACGGUGAGCGACGCAACUCGGAUUCAGUCCCAGACCUGGCUGAUUAGAACGCCUGUGCUCAGAACCUCUAGACGAGAUACUGAGCUCCCGACGUUAAAUGGAACUGCGAGUCAGAGGAGAGAGAAGGAACUGAAAGUCUUCAUGAAAGAGAAAUCCUCUGUUUCUGGGUCCCAAAAAUUUGAGUUUGAUGCUGACAGGUAGAAAGGGAGGGAAAAGCACAGACGAUGGAGGGAACAGAAUGAUCGAACAUGUAGAGGCAAGCGUUAAAGUCUCAGCACAUGGGUGGGGAGGAGCAAGUCAAACGCUUGGCUUCCCAGGAAAGUGAAGACCAGAUUCCAGGCUGAGGAGUCCAUGUUCAAUGCCAUAGGCAAUAGGGAGGCACUGAAGGUUUUAGAGCAGGAGAGUGACUUCAAAGCAAACUGCCGUACUAGUUAGCCAUAACAUGAACGGCGUGCUAAGCAAAGAACAGCCCAUUUAAGAGACGAGAGACCAGGCCAUCCCAGCUGGGCGUUUAGUCGGAGAAAUUGGAGAGAGAAGCCAAGAAAAAGAUAAUUCCCCGGUGUUGGUGAAUUUCAUCAAAAGCCACACUCGGAAUCCUUCCUUCCUCAGCUCUAUGGGGAGGACAGGAAAAGCAUCCCCUCGGGGGCUGCGGAACUUGCUGGAAACCCUUCGACACUCAAAUUCAGAGGCCACACUUCUUUUGAGGCUGCAAAUCUUGGCCCUUGUAAGGCUCCUAAGCGCCCAGCACUUGGACCUCACGGUGCCCAGUGGACAAAUCAGGUCUCAUCUUAGCCACGUAAAUAGAAAGUCAGCUUCGUCUUGUGACACAGACACUAUGACUCGCUUUUGUAUUCCUCCGUGUCAGCCCUGAUAAUGCGUCAGAGCUAAUUCAGCAGGCAAUGUGAAAAUGCUGACAGCAGAACGCCAAGAAGACAAACGAUUAAUGGCUGCCCCCCGAACAGAGAAGUUAAUUACUGGCAUCUAAAAUAUCUGAGGGGAAGAUGUUACACACCCACAUCACCAAUUAACCUCACCCCUAAGAAAUCGCCAUCAAUGCAAUUAAUAGAAAAUGACUAUCAUCCUAAUUACAAGCUCUAUCCCAGAGGCCAGUGUUAGGCAAGGAAACUUCUUUAUUAACCUCUUCCUGAUUCGUUU